CUUGGUCAUUUAGAGGAAGUAAAAGUCGUAACAAGGUUUCCGUAGAUGAACCUGCGGAAGGAUCAUUAAUGAGUCUGAAAGGGGUUGUUGCUGGCCUUCUCGGAGGCAUGUGCACGCCCUGCUCACUCCACAUACACCUGUGCACCUUUGGUAGUCUGGUCCGAUUAGACCACUGGGCGUCGGCCAGACUGCUGCUUUUACACACACUUUAAAGUAUCAGAAUGUCAUCUUGCUAUAAACGCAUUUAAAACAACUUUCAACAACGGAUCUCUUGGCUCUCGCAUCGAUGAAGAACGCAGCGAAAUGCGAUAGUAAUGUGAAUUGCAGAAUUCAGUGAAUCAUCGAAUCUUUGAACGCACCUUGCGCUCCUUGGUAUUCCUUGGAGCAUGCCUGUUUGAGUGUCAUGAAUAUCUCAAUCCCCUAAAGGCUCGCCUUUCCGUGGACUUGGACUUGGAGGUUGCUGGUCACUCAGCUCCUCUCAAAUGCAUUAGCUGGAACCUUAUGUGUAUCUCCGGUGUGAUAAUAUCUACUCCGUCUGAUCACAAAGUCGAAGUUGCUUGCGACUGAGGCUAUUAGGAUCUGCUUCUAAUCGUCCUACCCAGGACAAUCAUUGACAUCUGACCUCAAAUCAGGUAGGACUACCCGCUGAACUUAAGCAUAUCAAUAAGCGGAGGAAAAGAAACUAACAAGGAUUCCCCUAGUAACUGCGAGUGAAGCGGGAAAAGCUCAAAUUUAAAAUCUGGCCGGCUUUGCUUGCCCGAAUUGUAAUCUGGAGAAGCGUCUUCCGCGUUGGACCGUGUACAAGUUUCUUGGAAUAGAACAUCAUAGAGGGUGAGAAUCCCGUCUUUGACACGGACUACCAGUGCUAUGUGAUGCGCUCUCGACGAGUCGCGUUGUUUGGGAAUGCAGCGCUAAAUGGGUGGUAAAUUCCAUCUAAAGCUAAAUAUUGGCGAGAGACCGAUAGCGAACAAGUACCGUGAGGGAAAGAUGAAAAGCACUUUGGAAAGAGAGUUAAACAGUACGUGAAAUUGUUGAAAGGGAAACGCUUGAAGUCAGUCGCGUCAUAUGGGACUCAGCCUCACUGCUGUGUGGUGUACUUCCUAUGUGACGGGCCAGCAUCGAUUUUGACCGUUGGAUAAAGUUCAAGAGAAUGUGGCACCCUCGGGUGUGUUAUAGCUUUUGUUCGCAUACAUCGGUUGGGAUCGAGGAUCGCAGCACGCCUUUUGGCCGGGGUUCGCCCACGUACGUGCUUAGGAUGCUGGCGUAAUGGCUUUAAACGACCCGUCUUGAAACACGGAC
This 1299-nucleotide ribosomal RNA is filed under the name uncultured fungus. RNAcentral's name for it is "eukaryotic LSU rRNA". The stretch from base 619 to 1299 matches the Rfam family "Eukaryotic large subunit ribosomal RNA", at positions 1 to 666 of the family's 3401-position model. The record is from RNAcentral. Lineage: Eukaryota; Fungi.